AACGAACGCUGGCGGCAGGCCUAACACAUGCAAGUCGAACGCCCCCGCAAGGGGAGUGGCAGACGGGUGAGUAACGCGUGGGAACGUGCCCUUUGCUACGGAAUAGCCUCGGGAAACUGAGAGUAAUACCGUAUGUGCCCUUCGGGGGAAAGAUUUAUCGGCAAAGGAUCGGCCCGCGUUGGAUUAGGUAGUUGGUAGGGUAAUGGCCUACCAAGCCGACGAUCCAUAGCUGGUUUGAGAGGAUGAUCAGCCACACUGGGACUGAGACACGGUCCAGACUCCUACGGGAGGCAGCAGUGGGGAAUUUUCCGCAAUGGGCGAAAGCCUGACGGAGCAAUACCGCGUGAGGGAAGAAUGCCUAUGGGUUGUAAACCUCUUUUUCAGGGAGGAAUAAAAUGACGUGUACCUGAAGAAUAAGCAUCGGCUAACUCCGUG
RNAcentral lists this ribosomal RNA (435 nucleotides) under uncultured bacterium. RNAcentral's name for it is "bacterial SSU rRNA". It matches the Rfam family "Bacterial small subunit ribosomal RNA", at positions 29 to 507 of the family's 1533-position model. The record is from RNAcentral.